GCAUGGCCGAAUUCUGAUUUACCGUUGAUGUGGUAAACUCGGUCAGACACCAUGCGAAAGAAAUUUCUCACAUUGACUUUACAGUGAGUGAGCAGUGUUGUAGCUCAUUUCGCUGUCUGGUGAGGACAGAUAA
Molecule: non-coding RNA, 133 nt
Organism: Nerophis lumbriciformis (worm pipefish)
Lineage: Eukaryota; Metazoa; Chordata; Actinopteri; Syngnathiformes; Syngnathidae
Source: RefSeq, a predicted model, not a curated record